UAUUAAAUUUUGACCAAAGGUCAUAAUAUUUAACAGACAUUCUAGUAAACUUGUGUGUGUAAAAAUAACAUAGACACAGACUGUUACAUCUGGCCUACAAUGAGUUCACAGGUGAGAUGAAAAGGCAGAGUGCACAUGCCUAAAAAAGGCCAGCAACAUCUUAAGGAUUUCAAUAAUGAUCCUUCCGCAGGUUCACCUACGGAAA
RNAcentral lists this unclassified non-coding RNA (205 nucleotides) under uncultured fungus. RNAcentral's name for it is "sequence contains ITS1". Lineage: Eukaryota; Fungi. The record is from RNAcentral.